UUACCCUGUGAAGGACUAAUAGUAAGCACAAUCGGCACAGCCAAGAACGUCAGGUCGAGGUGUAGUGAAUGGGAGGGGAAGAAAUGGGCUACAUUCGCUGUCCGCCAGCGAACACGAACGCUGCAUUGAAACAUGCAGCUGAAGGAGGAUUUAGCAGUAAGCAGAAAGCAGAGUGUUCCGCUGAAGCCGGCUCUUAAGCGCGCACACACCGCCCGUCACCCUCCCCAAGCAACUGGACCUAAAUUUUUCUUUAAACCCUAACAAUCGCAAAGGAGAGGAAAGUCGUAACAUGGUAAGCGUACCGGAAGGUGCGCUUGGUUAAAC
RNAcentral lists this ribosomal RNA (324 nucleotides) under Megalaspis cordyla (torpedo scad). RNAcentral describes it as "partial 12S ribosomal RNA". It matches the Rfam family "Bacterial small subunit ribosomal RNA", at positions 1060 to 1527 of the family's 1533-position model. Lineage: Eukaryota; Metazoa; Chordata; Actinopteri; Carangiformes; Carangidae. The record is from RNAcentral.